This 634-nucleotide ribosomal RNA is filed under the name Globigerinoides conglobatus. RNAcentral's name for it is "partial 18S ribosomal RNA". The stretch from base 1 to 558 matches the Rfam family "Eukaryotic small subunit ribosomal RNA", at positions 1295 to 1607 of the family's 1831-position model. The record is from RNAcentral. Lineage: Eukaryota; Foraminifera; Rotaliida; Globigerinidae.
UAGUUCGUGGAGUGAUCUGUCUGCUUAAUUGCGUUUCAAAUUCUAUUGUUGAGUACCAGGUCCUAAGAGUUUCAAGCAAAUCUGUCUCUGAGUGUGAACUGUAUGUCUUCGGAUAUGCGACUAUCGCUCUAGACAACUAUGAUCUGCUUGUAGCCUCUGGUACUCUUUUGAACGCAACGGACGUGAUUGCAACCCCUUGUUGAGUUUGCUUCUCUUAGGAACUCUACGUCUGCUGAACCACCUACCUUAGCGGGUAGGUGGUGAGGUGGAUAAACUCGGGGGACUGCUGACUAUAACCAUUUCUCAAAACAGAGGAAGGUUGCGGCAAUAACAGGUCUGUGAUGCCCUCAGAUGUCCCGGGCUGCACACGUGCUACAAUGAGUAGCGCAGUGUGCACAUUUUGAAGAGUGAUAGGUGCUGGGGAUUGUAUAUUUCAUGGGCUCGUCCUGGUAACCAACCGCCCCCAGCAUCUAUCAACCUUCCCUUUACAGGGUGGGUAACCUCUUCGAAAUGCUGGUUUGAUUCUCUUAGUGUUUGUCAUUUUAUUCCUCGUCGCAGCUGCUCUAGGACAUAGUGAACACUGUAAAGUGAUUCCCGUCUUAGGCUUGUGACGCGUGCUUUUCCUGGUUGACUC